GGCGCACGGNGUGAGUAAUACGCGGNAUCAUCUACAUUACAGGUGGGGAAUACCCCCGGGAAACUGGGGACAAUACCGCAUAAGCUCGUAAGAGGAAAGCAGCAAUGCGCCGGAAGAGGAGUCCGCGGCUGAUUAGCUAGAUGGUGAGGUAACGGCCCACCAUGGCGAAGAUCGGUAGCCGGCCUGAGAGGGCACACGGCCACACUGGCACUGAAACACGGGCCAUAUUCCUACGGGAGGCAGCAGUGGG
This 250-nucleotide ribosomal RNA is filed under the name uncultured Acidobacteriota bacterium. RNAcentral's name for it is "uncultured Acidobacteria bacterium partial 16S ribosomal RNA". It matches the Rfam family "Bacterial small subunit ribosomal RNA", at positions 97 to 358 of the family's 1533-position model. The record is from RNAcentral. Lineage: Bacteria; Pseudomonadati; Acidobacteriota.